CAUUGAAUGGCUGAAAUUGUAAGCAAUGGUCUCUUAAACCAUCAAUAGUUAUUACUUUCAAUGA
This 64-nucleotide transfer RNA is filed under the name Amblyomma geoemydae. Its description in RNAcentral is "tRNA-Lys". The record is from RNAcentral. Lineage: Eukaryota; Metazoa; Arthropoda; Arachnida; Ixodida; Ixodidae.